GAAGAAAUGGUGAAGAACCCAGAUUAAAUUAUCACGUUAGAAACGACCCUCUCAGAUGAAUCCCUGUCUACCCAGCCUGCAGAAGAUAGUGGCUUGGCACUGGUAGUACUCUUGGCUUUGAUUCCCUAAGCCACUAGAGGAGGAAGGAAAGCACAUCUGUUUCCUUGGCUGUUCACUGACUUUGGUGGCACAGAUAAGAAACACUUUGAAUGAUUUCUAAAAUCUUAGCAAAAUGAAGUUUUGUCCAGGCCAGGUAAAUGGGAGAAGAAAUUACUUGAAUGAAAUGCUAACUUAGUUUGAAACAUUUCCUGUCUAUCAGCCUCUCUUUUUGCUUUUUCACCUAUAUCCCGUUUCAUCCACCUAGAUGCAUCUCUAAAUUUCAGAAAUGCUGUUUUAAAGCGGCACAGACCACUGCUAACUGUAUGCCUGAGAGACCCCAUGGAGAGCGGGAACACCAGAUGUGCACCAGCCCCACCAGCUUCUGGCUUCUUGGACAGAGGGGAGCUGUAAGAUCUCUCCCAGGACUUCCAUGGGCAUCACAGACUGCACUGGCACCAAGCUGGGGUGCAGAGCCUUAGGAGGUAUUCUAUAGCUUAGCAAGAACAGAAAGGCUUGCUCCAGUUUCACAUGGAUGUACUCAAGCAGCCGGAUCCUUCUGCUCUGUCCUAAUUCCUUGUGUUGCAGAUAUCCUGCAGAUGAUGGCAACAGAAAAUGAAAGUUUUCUUUCUAAGCCUCAGUAAACACGUGCAGCAGAGGCCAGGAAGAAAAGAACGGCUUGAUUUUAAACCACUGCUGGUGGAAUCUAAGCUGCUGGAGAUAUGAAUUAUUUUGGCUACACGUACAGCCUGUCAUGCAUUCCAAUCUGCCUUCCUUCUCAGCCUUCAGCGACUGUGGCACAACAAUUAGCUCCAUUAUCUGCAAUGGGACACAAGAUGCAGCCUCUGCAUUUCCACAUCAAGACACCGACAGCCAAUGCCUUGAUCCGACAUGUUCUGUUCAAGGACAGCUUGCAAGACAGCGUCUUGUCUCACACACCGUGAUAUGAGGUCUUCAUCCAUGGUUGAAAUACAGGAAAUGCUGAGAUGGAAAGGCAGUGCCAGAGCUGUGAAGGCCUCUCGCAGUCCGUUGUGUUGUAAACUGGGAGAAAACUCAGCAGGGACAGCUCAUCUGAACUUCCUGAGGGAUUCUGAAUUUAGCCCUUCGCUCAGUAGUGUCACUUCAUAUGAGUAUAAUGGAAAUGGAUCUGGACUCUCCCUUCACUUUUUAUAGUAAAGCUCUUAUCUUGAUCUGUAGCAGCCCAGCCAAGAAAAGACACUGGAAGACCUCAUGGGCAUGGUCUCACGUCUUCAGGUUACAGGCGUGCAGCUCCAUCCACUUGUAGCAGCAUUCCUCCAGUGCUAUCAUGAGAUUCACUGGUGAUGUUCUGUAAAUGCCAGCCAAAAUCUAUCUGCAAGAACAUCUGCUCAACAGUGCAAAACUGAUGUAAUUACCAACCAUCAUCUUUUAUCCUCCUGCUGGGGCAACUGCUCCAAAGCAUGACUUUUUGCCCUGAGCUAACAAGAUCCAGAGGCUCGCUGCUAUGUACAAAUCCCGCCGCUGAAAACUAACAUGGCUGAUACACAAAUUCUCACAGGAUCUUUCAGCUGCGAGGGGUAACACGUACCCAAACAAGCUUCACCGUGGUCAGUGGAGGAGCCCCAAACUCAGGAUACCCGCAACACACACCUGGAAAUACUGCAGCAUGGGCAGAGAAGUGAAGGUAUUUGAAAGGAGACCAGAAAGGACUGCGUGGGCUCUAGGGCUUCAUGCACUGGAUAAGCAGCCCCAAGUAUUUCAAGGUUGCACUCAACUGCCUGGACAGGAACCCGAAGUCUGCUGUCAGUGCCUUUGCUGAGAUCACGGGAGAGUAACGGGAGACAAAGAUCAAUCUGCACCCCAGCUGCACGAUGCUGGCUGCCAGGGGGGAUGCAUGCACUGGGCUGACAUCAAGAGGAAAAGAAAGCAAGCAGGCAAGAAUGAAAAACAGAACUAGCUAAAUAACUGGCAGUGUUUCGGGAGAAGCCCAUCCUAUCGCAGAGAGCGACAACAGCCUCGGUAUUAUGAUUUAUGGAGUGCUGGUGUCACUCUAACAAGCUGAAGGACACACAAUAUCAUCUCCAACAUCAUUAAAAUUCAGAAGCCUCUAGAACUAACUCAUCAACCACCGCGCAUUGUCACACGCUAUGGAGCUGAGCUGUUCCCCACUUGGAAAAUGCCUUCCGGACAGUCGUCAUCCUGAAUCAUCUGAUUAAAAGGAUACAAAGAGAAGGAACGGAAAGGAAAGGGGGAAAGAGAGAGAAGCCAAACUCCACGGACAUUCUGGAAAUGAGGGACCUGCAACGGUUUCAUUCCCAUAGCAGAGCGGUGCUAUUAGUUCCUAUCACCUACAACAAAAUGAGUUCUCUGCCUUCUUCUGUUGCUGGAAUACGGGAGGCCCAAAAAGCAGGAGGUCUCCUGGAAAUAGCUGCUCCGUUCAAACCGCAGCUAUGAGGCCGCGACACGAUAAGCAAAAGCCGUGCAUUACUUUAGCUCAUGCUGUACCACGAAACUUCUAUUUUAUUGAAGUUCGGCUGUGCGCUCUGCCUCAGACCGCAGCUGUCCCUCCAUCCCAGGCGCCCGUUCUCCCUCCUUUUCCGCAGAAAAAGGCCAAACCCGCGCUCCCGGCACCGCGGUCCCACAAAGGCUAAAGCAGAACG
RNAcentral lists this long non-coding RNA (2735 nucleotides) under Gallus gallus (chicken). RNAcentral describes it as "lncRNA (ENSGALG00010026572.1)". The record is from RNAcentral. Lineage: Eukaryota; Metazoa; Chordata; Aves; Galliformes; Phasianidae.